CCUCCCGCAACCCCGAACCCUAACCCCUCGCUCUCCUCCCCUCCCCGCCGCCCUCACGCUCCCUCUCCAGCACCCCGCCGCCGCCCUCUCUCUUCCUCUCUCUGCUCUCUGCCUCCCCGCCGUCAUCUUCGGUCCCAUGCUCCCUCUCCGCCUGCCUCCGUCAAUCCUCCUUGCCGCCGCUCCUCCUACUCUCCGCCCAUUCCGGCGGGAUCUGGAUCCGGUGCGGGGCGCAGGUCGGAGGGCGUGGGGUGCAUGCCGGCCGGCCACGAUGAUGGGGGGCCAUGAGCCCCUCCGCCCGCCGCACCACCAGACGCACGCGCCCCAGCUGGUUCGUGUCCAUCCCCUGGUCGGAGCUAAGGGACUGGCCACCGCCGGCCGGAUCCGCACGAUGGCGGGAUGGCGCCCUUACAGUAGGCGUGGGUCGCCGUUGGCCUCAGCGUGCGGCUGCUGAUGGCCGAGGAUUUCGGUGGAUAGGGAGGCUGAAGCGGCUUCAGAGGGCAGGAGUUCAACAUGAAGCCACCGUUGCUGUGUGGGUAUGGCCGUAUGGGCAUGGGCUCCUAUCAUUCGAGUCGUCCAAUUGGCUGCUGCUUCUCUUGCUUGUAGAGUUGUUCAGUCUGGUGCUCGCUUUGUGAUGUUAGAUUGGUGGUAAUUGGUGGCUGACAAGAAGUGAGCUUCUGGAAUUACGUCAGUAGGAUCUCAGUAGGCUUCUUGGGUUUGAGCAGCAGCAUCUCAGGUUUGGGAUGCUUAUAGAAUAUCUGUUCGAAAAAUUUCCAAAUUGGCAGGAAAUAGGUAGCCAGGCCAUUGGUGUCCUCUAGGUGACCAGUUCAGGUGCGGCCUGGAGCGGCGGGCAGGCCAGGUCAUGGGGGCGCGUCGCGGUGGGUCAGCCCCGGGUGGUGGCGAGAGGGUGGAGUGGCAACAUGGUCCUGGUCGAGCUCGAACUGAAGCAUAGCGAAGAGUGCUGGCCAGCAUGCUGGAUAUGCUCAUGAACCUGCUACCCUGUUCGUUAUUCCGAUCACAUAUGUGUGACGAGCAACUAGCACUAGAAAACUUUGCCUCUAAACGACCAUGAAAACAACAGCUUCCUUUUACUGUGCUAUCGUCUUUGCAUUUAGGGAAGCAAGUAGUAACUCUGAUCUAAAAACAGAGUACUUAUUGUGAUGGUAUUAUAUACUUAUACUAAAGUGCCAAGAUUUGGGUAGC
Panicum virgatum (switchgrass) is the source of this 1200-nucleotide long non-coding RNA. RefSeq lists it as uncharacterized. The record is from RefSeq and is a predicted model, not a curated record. The transcript has 5 exons. Lineage: Eukaryota; Viridiplantae; Streptophyta; Magnoliopsida; Poales; Poaceae.